Molecule: non-coding RNA, 25 nt
Filed under: Cricetulus griseus (Chinese hamster)
Lineage: Eukaryota; Metazoa; Chordata; Mammalia; Rodentia; Cricetidae
Source: RNAcentral
AAAGGAGGUUUCAGUAGUGCACAUG